Molecule: ribosomal RNA, 510 nt
Filed under: uncultured bacterium
Lineage: Bacteria
Description: partial 16S ribosomal RNA
Rfam family: Bacterial small subunit ribosomal RNA
Source: RNAcentral
GACGAACGCUGGCGGCGUGCUUAACACAUGCAAGUCGAACGAAGAGCGAUGGAAGCUUGCUUCUAUCAAUCUUAGUGGCGAACGGGUGAGUAACGCGUAAUCAACCUGCCCUUCAGAGGGGGACAACAGUUGGAAACGAAUGCUAAUACCGCAUACGAUCUAAUCUCGGCAUCGAGGAUAGAUGAAAGGUGGCCUCUACAUGUAAGCUAUCACUGAAGGAGGGGAUUGUGUCUGCUUAGCUAGUUGGAGGGGUAACGGCCCACCAAGGCGACGAUCAGUAGCCGGUCUGAGAGGAUGAACGGCCACAUUGGGACUGAGACACGGCCCAGACUCCUACGGGAGGCAGCAGUGGGGAAUCUUCCGCAAUGGACGAAAGUCUGACGGAGCAACGCCGCGUGAGUGAUGACGGCCUUCGGGUUGUAAAGCUCUGUUAAUCGGGACGAAAGGCUUUCUUGCGAAUAGUGAGAAGGAUUGACGGUACCGGAAUAGAAAGCCACGGCUAACUACGUG